This 429-nucleotide ribosomal RNA is filed under the name Pseudomonadota bacterium. RNAcentral's name for it is "Proteobacteria bacterium partial 16S ribosomal RNA". It matches the Rfam family "Bacterial small subunit ribosomal RNA", at positions 355 to 776 of the family's 1533-position model. Lineage: Bacteria; Pseudomonadati; Pseudomonadota. The record is from RNAcentral.
UGGGGAAUAUUGGACAAUGGGCGAAAGCCUGAUCCAGCCAUGCCGCGUGUGUGAAGAAGGUCUUCGGAUUGUAAAGCACUUUAAGUUGGGAGGAAGGGCAGUAAGCGAAUACCUUGCUGUUUUGACGUUACCGACAGAAUAAGCACCGGCUAACUCUGUGCCAGCAGCCGCGGUAAUACAGAGGGUGCGGGCGUUAAUCGGAUUUACUGGGCGUAAAGCGUGCGUAGGCGGCUAAUUGAGUCGGAUGUGAAAUCCCCGAGCUUAACUUGGGAAUUGCAUUCGAUACUGGUUAGCUAGAGUGUGGGAGAGGAUGGUAGAAUUCCAGGUGUAGCGGUGAAAUGCGUAGAGAUCUGGAGGAAUACCGAUGGCGAAGGCAGCCAUCUGGCCUAACACUGACGCUGAGGUACGAAAGCAUGGGGAGCAAACAGG